GAGGGCACUCGGCUGGCUGUUGCCGUGUACCUCGUACUUGAUCUUGUGGAUGUCGCGGUAGAUCGAGUUCAGCGAUUCGGCGAGGUAUUCCAGGCGCUGGUUGACGUGGCUCAGGCUCAACUGGCUGCGGACGCGCUCGUGCAGGCGGUUCUCCAGGCGUUCGAGGCCAUGCAGCAGUUCCUGCGGCGCCACCGGUUUCUGGUAGUAGUCGGCGGCGCCGACCCGCAUGGCCUCGAUCACUUCCUGGCGGCCAUCGUGACCGGUGAGGAUGAUCGAUUCGAAGAACCUGCCGUUGCCGGCGACUUCCUUGAGGCUCUCGAUCAGGCGGAUACCGUUGUCCUGCCCCAGGUAGAGGUCGCAGAUGACCAGGCCGAUGUUCGGGUCGGCCUGGAAGCUGGCGA
This 401-nucleotide small RNA is filed under the name Pseudomonas aeruginosa PAK. RNAcentral describes it as "putative antisense RNA". Lineage: Bacteria; Pseudomonadati; Pseudomonadota; Gammaproteobacteria; Pseudomonadales; Pseudomonadaceae. The record is from RNAcentral.